GAUGAACGCUGGCGGCGUGCCUAAUACAUGCAAGUCGAGCGAACAGACGAGGAGCUUGCUCCUCUGACGUUAGCGGCGGACGGGUGAGUAACACGUGGAUAACCUACCUAUAAGACUGGGAUAACUUCGGGAAACCGGAGCUAAUACCGGAUAACAUGUUGAACCGCAUGGUUCAACAGUGAAAGACGGUCUUGCUGUCACUUAUAGAUGGAUCCGCGCCGCAUUAGCUAGUUGGUAAGGUAACGGCUUACCAAGGCAACGAUGCGUAGCCGACCUGAGAGGGUGGUCGGCCACACUGGAACUGAGACACGGUCCAGACUCCUACGGGAGGCAGCAGUAGGGAAUCGUCCGCAAUGGGCGAAAGCCUGACGGAGCAACGCCGCGUGAGUGAAGAAGGUCUUCGGAUCGUAAAACUCUGUUAUUAGGGAAGAACAAAUGUGUAAGUAACUAUGCACGUCUUGACGGUACCUAAUCAGAAAGCCACGGCUAACUACGUG
RNAcentral lists this ribosomal RNA (497 nucleotides) under uncultured bacterium. RNAcentral's name for it is "partial 16S ribosomal RNA". It matches the Rfam family "Bacterial small subunit ribosomal RNA", at positions 28 to 507 of the family's 1533-position model. The record is from RNAcentral.